AGGAUAAUAGUUAAUUAUAACAUUUGAUUUGCACUCAGAAAGUAUUGAAUUUAAUCAAUUUAUCUUG
Molecule: transfer RNA, 67 nt
Filed under: Cyrtonotula maculosa
Lineage: Eukaryota; Metazoa; Arthropoda; Insecta; Blattodea; Blaberidae
Description: tRNA-Ala
Rfam family: tRNA
About the family: Transfer RNA (tRNA) molecules are approximately 80 nucleotides in length. Their secondary structure includes four short double-helical elements and three loops (D, anti-codon, and T loops).
Source: RNAcentral